This 253-nucleotide ribosomal RNA is filed under the name uncultured bacterium. RNAcentral's name for it is "partial 16S ribosomal RNA". It matches the Rfam family "Bacterial small subunit ribosomal RNA", at positions 524 to 776 of the family's 1533-position model. The record is from RNAcentral.
UACGUAGGUGGCAAGCGUUAUCCGGAAUUAUUGGGCGUAAAGCGCGCGCAGGUGGUUCUUUAAGUCUGAUGUGAAAGCCCCCGGCUCAACCGGGGAGGGUCAUUGGAAACUGGGGAACUUGAGUAUAGAAGAGGAAAGUGGAAUUCCACGUGUAGCGGUGAAAUGCGUAGAGAUGUGGAGGAACACCAGUGGCGAAGGCGACUUCUGGUCUAUAACUGACACUGGAGGCGCGAAAGCGUGGGGAGCAAACGGG